This 1595-nucleotide long non-coding RNA is filed under the name Homo sapiens (human). Its description in RNAcentral is "HSALNT0227591". The record is from RNAcentral. Lineage: Eukaryota; Metazoa; Chordata; Mammalia; Primates; Hominidae.
CCUGGCUCAAAAGCUCCCCUGCUGAGCACCUUGUGACCCCCUGCCCCUGCCAGCCAGAGAACAACCCCCUUUGACUGUAAUUUUCCUUUACCCAAACCCUAUAAAACAGCCCCACCCCUAUCUUCGGACUCAGCCCGCCUGCACCCAGGUGAAAUAAACAGCCUUGUUGAUCACACAAAGCCUGUUUGAUGGUCUCUUCACACUGACGUGAGUGAAAUUUUGGUGCCGUGACUCGGAUCUGGGGAGUCACAAUCCGAGAUCAAUCCCCUGUCCUCCUGCUCUUUGCUCCACCUACGACCUCGGGUCCUCAGACCAACCAGCCCAAGGAACAUCUCACCAGUUUUAAAUCCGGUCCGGGCUUUAGGUAGAUAAGGGAACUUCAGAGAACAACUUCAUCCUGUGUUUUGGGAGACACGGAGGACUGAGCGAUGAGAAGUAGGUCAUCCUUUCCCCAUGGCUGCAUAAAAUAGAUUGAAUCAAAUGGAGCCCAUCAUGCUGGCUGCUUCUCUCCGCUGGGGCCAGGAGCAGCCUGACUGCAGAGUCAGCUGAAGACAGACAGCAGUCAGAGUGCUGGCCUUCUCCUUCCAAAAACACAGCCGUUCAAGUUCACAGAGACUGAAGAAUACGAUAAACACAGAUAAACGUGCUUGACGGACAGACAACCGGGCAGUGAUCUGCUGGGUUCAGCCAAUGUGAUGAGCAGAAGUGGGAAGAAAUCAGUCUCCUGUGCGGAUAGAAUCAGGAAACCCGUCUAAUCCCACUCUUCUCCAUUCCAUUCUCCAUACCGAAACCAGUGUCAUCUUCAAUGAGAUAAAGCAUAUCUAUAUCACACCCCUGUUUACAAAAAACCAUCACUACUGUCUCCGCUGCAUUUGUCUUAAUCGCAUAAUCCGGCUCCUAGUUCUUGGGCCAGUUUUACCAUGUGCCAGUUCCCCCGAACCAGUUUCUCCCAUUGGAAGGUUUUGUCUCUCUGCACAGCUCUGACCUCUGCCUGUGUUGCUCUUUCCCCAGAGCCUUGCCUGGCUGACUUCUACUCCUCCCUCAUGUGGCAGGAAAUCUCACCUUUGCAGAAAGACCUUCCAUGCCAACCUACACAGCAAAGGUCUUCUCCCAGGCCAUGCCCCUUUCAACUCUCAGCUCCUCACUUGUUUUCAUCAUAACAAUUACCCCAAAUGAUAAUGAUGGUUUUUUUUUUUUUUUUUUUGAAACAGAGUCUUGUUCUGUUGCCCAGGCUGGAAUGCUGUGGCGUUAUCUUGGCUCACUGCAACCUCCCACUUCCUGGGUUCAAGCAAUUCUCGUGACUCAGCCACCUGAGUAGCUGGGAUUACAGGUGUGUACCACCAUGCUCAGAUAAUUUUUGUAUUUUUAGUAGAGUUGGGGUUUCAUCAUGUUGGCUAGGCAAUUACAGGCGUGAGCCACUGCGCCCAGUUACAAUGGAUCUUAUGUAUCUGACCACUUACCCGUUUUGUCCUUCCUUCCUAGUAGAAUUGGACUCCCAUGCAAGUGGAGACCCAGUCAGUCUUGUUCACUGCAAUCUCCCCAGGGCCUGCCACAUCUAAAAGACAUAUUUUCUGAUAAAUGAAUCAUAACAGUUG